UACGUAGGGUGCGAGCGUUAAUCGGAAUUACUGGGCGUAAAGCGUGCGCAGGCGGCGCGUUAAGACAGGUGUGAAAGCCCCGAGCUUAACUUGGGAAUUGCGCUUGUGACUGGCGUGCUGGAGUGUGGCAGAGGGAGGUGGAAUUCCACGUGUAGCAGUGAAAUGCGUAGAGAUGAUGGAGGAACACCGAUGGCGAAGGCAGCCUCC
Molecule: ribosomal RNA, 207 nt
Filed under: uncultured bacterium
Lineage: Bacteria
Description: partial 16S ribosomal RNA
Rfam family: Bacterial small subunit ribosomal RNA
Source: RNAcentral